This is a long non-coding RNA of Temnothorax curvispinosus, 759 nucleotides long. RefSeq lists it as uncharacterized. The record is from RefSeq and is a predicted model, not a curated record. The transcript has 2 exons. Lineage: Eukaryota; Metazoa; Arthropoda; Insecta; Hymenoptera; Formicidae.
UCCAUGUUUACCCGAGAAGUGAGCGUUCCGAGUCGAAAUAUCUCGCACGUAGUGUUGCCGCUUUUCCGCGUGCGUGAUUGGCCGGUCGAAGCCGGGUGUGAUCGCGGGAGAUCGCGGCGAGCUUCGUACGUGUGUGUCGUGAGUGUCGUGAAAUCGUGAUGUGACAGUUCGCGUCGUGUCGUUAGGAGGUUAAUAAUAAUAUUAUAGAGAGCGAAGGGUUGAUGAUGAUGAUUAACGGCGAACUGGUAAAAGUAGAUCAAUUUCGGAGAGAAGAAAUAAUAAAUUGCACAUGUGGUUUUAUGGAAGAGGACGGUUUAAUGAUCUCUGUCUCUGCUGGCAACAUGGACAUUGUAAUUUUAUUGAAAAGGAAAAGGAUGUUUCUGAGAAAUAUACAUUUGUUACAUAUGUCAAAAUCCAUGUCGACUACGGCCGUCUAAGAAAUAUUAUCACGAUAAGGACUUGAUCAUGGAAGGAAAAUUGUCAAGCUUGUCUAACCAAACUCGAAAUCAGUAUAAGAUAAAUCAAAGGAUUGCAAUGUUGAAGCGUUCUUAUGACUUGGUUGCUGCACUUUUACAAAUUCAAUAACUUCUUCAUUGUUUGUGUGUAAAAAUCAACGUGGCACAUUAAGUUAUAAAGUUAUAUACGUCUGCCUUCUUAGAAAAGUUUUUUUGUCUGCAUUAUAACGACUAAUUAUGGAAGAGGACGGUUUAAUGAUCUCUGUCUCUGCUGGCAACAUGGACAUUGUAAUUUUAUUGAAAA